Molecule: ribosomal RNA, 253 nt
Filed under: uncultured bacterium
Lineage: Bacteria
Description: partial 16S ribosomal RNA
Rfam family: Bacterial small subunit ribosomal RNA
Source: RNAcentral
AACGUAGGUUCCGAGCGUUAUCCGGAUUUACUGGGCGUAAAGCGCGUUCAGGCGGUCAGGCAAGUCGGGCAUGAAAUCUCUCGGCUCAACCGGGAGAGGUUGUCCGAUACUGCCGGACUGGAGGGCAGUAGAGGGUGGUGGAAUUCCGGGUGUAGUGGUGAAAUGCGCAGAUAUCAGGAAGAACACCCGUGGCUAAGGCGGCUCUCUAGUACGGUACUGACGCUGAGACGCGAAAGCGUGGGGAGCGAACAGG